CGGUUGGGGUGACCUCGGAGAAUAAAAAAUCCUCCGAAUGAUUUUAACCUAGACCCACAAGUCAAAGUAAUAUUAAUAUCUUAUUGGACCCAAUUAUNNGAUCAACGGACCAAGUUACCCUAGGGAUAACAGC
RNAcentral lists this ribosomal RNA (133 nucleotides) under Rattus rattus (black rat). RNAcentral describes it as "partial large subunit ribosomal RNA". The record is from RNAcentral. Lineage: Eukaryota; Metazoa; Chordata; Mammalia; Rodentia; Muridae.